RNAcentral lists this ribosomal RNA (1297 nucleotides) under Bastilla crameri. RNAcentral describes it as "16S ribosomal RNA". The record is from RNAcentral. Lineage: Eukaryota; Metazoa; Arthropoda; Insecta; Lepidoptera; Erebidae.
AAUAAAGUUAAAUUAUUUUAAUGGGGGUUAAAGUAUUUUAAUAGAAAAAAUUUAAAGGUUUAUAGUGGAUUAGUAUUGUGAAAGAAUUUUGAAAUAAUUUAAAUAUGAAUUUAAUUAAAAGUAAUUUUUAUUUAGUGUAUCUUGUGUAUCAGAGUUUAUUAAAAAAAAUUUUUUGUUAAUAAAAAUUCUCGAAUUUAAAAGAGAUAAUUAAUUAUAAAAGUUAUUGUGGCAUAAAUAUUUUUAAUAAUUAAUUGGAAAUGAUAUGUUAAUCGUUUUUAAAUAUAUCUAGUUUUUUUAGAAAAAAAUUUAAUUUUAAAUUUAUCAAUUUAUUUAUUAAUUAUUUAAUAAAUAAAAUUUUUAAAUUUUAUAAUUUAAGGGAUAAUCUUUGAAUUAAAUAAAUAUAAUAAAUUUAAUUAUAAAAUGAUUUGAAAAUUAUAUGAUUUAUAUUGUUAAUAAAAUUUAAUUUAUUAUAAAUAAUUUCAUUUAAAAUAAAAUUUAAUUAAAAAUUUAUUUUUUUAUAAAUAAAUAAUUUUAAAUUAAUUUAAAAUUAGUUAUAAUGAUAAAAUUAGUAUAUAAUUUUUAUAUUAGAUUAAUUAAUUAAGUUAAUUAAUUAAAAGGAAUUCGGCAAAAAUUUAUAUUCACUUGUUUAUCAAAAACAUGUCUUUUUGGAAAUAAUAUAAAGUCUAAUCUGCCCACUGAUUUAAAUAUUGAAGGGCUGCAGUAUAUUGACUGUACAAAGGUAGCAUAAUCAUUAGUCAUUUAAUUGAUGACUUGUAUGAAAGAUUGGAUGAAAUAUAAACUGUCUCUUAAUUAAUUAUAGAAUUUAAUUUUUUAAUUAAAAAGUUAAAAUAUAUUAAAAAGACGAGAAGACCCUAUAGAGUUUUAUAUUUAAUUUAAUUAUAUUUAUUUAUAAAAUUAAUAAUUUUUAAUAAGAUUAAGUAUUUUAUUGGGGUGAUAGAAAAAUAAAUUGAACUUUUUUUAUAUAAAAACAUAUAUAAGUGAUAAAAUGAUCCAUUUUUAAUGAUUAUAAGAAAAAAUUACCUUAGGGAUAACAGCGUAAUUUUUUUUUUUAGUUCAAAUAAGAAAAAGAGUUUGCGACCUCGAUGUUGGAUUAAGAUAAAAUUUAAAUGCAGAAGUUUAAAAUUUUGAUCUGUUCGAUCAUUAAAAUCUUACAUGAUCUGAGUUCAGACCGGUGUGAGCCAGGUUGGUUUCUAUCUUUUAAAAAAUGAAAUAUUUUAGUACGAAAGGAUUAAAUAUUUAAAUUAAAUUUUAAUUUAUGAAUUUUAUUAAUAAAAAA